RNAcentral lists this ribosomal RNA (467 nucleotides) under uncultured bacterium. Its description in RNAcentral is "partial 16S ribosomal RNA". It matches the Rfam family "Bacterial small subunit ribosomal RNA", at positions 28 to 507 of the family's 1533-position model. The record is from RNAcentral.
GAUGAACGCUGGCGGCGUGCUUAACACAUGCAAGUCGAACGGAAAGGCCCUGCUUUUGUGGGGUGCUCGAGUGGCGAACGGGUGAGUAACACGUGAGUAACCUGCCCUUGACUUGGGAUAACUUCAGGAAACUGGGGCUAAUACCGGAUAGGAGCUCCUGCUGCCUGGUGGGGGUUGGAAAGUUUCGGCGGUUGGGGAUUGACUCGCGGCUUAUCAGCUUGUUGGUGGGGUAGUGGCUUACCAAGGCUUUGACGGGUAGCCGGCCUGAGAGGGUGACCGGCCACAUUGGGACUGAGAUACGGCCCAGACUCCUACGGGAGGCAGCAGUGGGGAAUAUUGCACAAUGGGCGGAAGCCUGAUGCAGCAACGCCGCGUGCGGGAUGACGGCCUUCGGGUUGUAAACCGCUUUCGCCUGUGACGAAGCGUGAGUGACGGUAAUGGGUAAAGAAGCACCGGCUAACUACGUG